This 253-nucleotide ribosomal RNA is filed under the name uncultured bacterium. RNAcentral describes it as "partial 16S ribosomal RNA". It matches the Rfam family "Bacterial small subunit ribosomal RNA", at positions 524 to 776 of the family's 1533-position model. The record is from RNAcentral.
UACGUAGGUGGCAAGCGUUGUCCGGAUUUACUGGGCGUAAAGAGCGCGAAGGCGGUCGUCCAAGUCGCGUGUGAAAGCCCCCGGCUCAACUGGGGAGGGUCACGCGAUACUGGUCGACUCGAAGGCAGGAGAGGGUAGUGGAAUUCCCGGUGUAGUGGUGAAAUGCGUAGAUAUCGGGAGGAACACCAGUGGCGAAGGCGAAUACCUGGCCUGUUCUUGACGCUGAGGCGCGAAAGCUAGGGGAGCAAACGGG